This 324-nucleotide ribosomal RNA is filed under the name Triticum aestivum (bread wheat). RNAcentral describes it as "partial small subunit ribosomal RNA". The record is from RNAcentral. Lineage: Eukaryota; Viridiplantae; Streptophyta; Magnoliopsida; Poales; Poaceae.
AUGCACAAGGCUUAUGACCGUAUGGAAUGGUGUUUUCUUGAAGGUAUCAUGCUGAAAAUGGGAUUUGAUGUGAGAUGGGUACAUCUAAUAAUGGCAUGCGUUAAAUCUGUGACUUAUUCAGUGAGGUUUAAUUCACUGGUAACAGAAAGAUUUAUUCCAUCUCGAGGCCUACGACAAGGCGACCCACCUAGCCCAUAUCUAUUCCUAUUGGUGGCAGAGGUUUUAUCUAUCUUACUUUUCGGAUGCAGAAGAGAGAGGAAUGCUAGAAGGGGUGAAGGUUUGCCGAGAUGCACCCUCGGUUUCACAUCUUCUAUUUGCCGAUAA